GGCUUUUACGGGUCAGUGGAAGGCUGGUUAAACCGUUUGGUUUUCGACCACUAUGACCCGGGUUCGAUUCCCGCAUUGGACA
Non-coding RNA from Cordylochernes scorpioides, 82 nucleotides. The record is from the annotation of a GenBank genome assembly. NCBI's taxonomy places the organism in Eukaryota, Metazoa, Arthropoda, Arachnida, Pseudoscorpiones, Chernetidae.